GAUGAACGCUGGCGGUAUGCUUAACACAUGCAAGUCGAACGGGGGUAGAAAUACCCUAGUGGCGGACGGGUGAGUAACGCGUGAGAAUCUAGCUUCAGGUCGGGGAUAACAGAGGGAAACCGCUGCUAAUACCGGAUGAACCUACGGGUAAAAGAUUAAUUGCCAGAAGAUGAGCUCGCGUCCGAUUAGCUAGUUGGUAGGGUAAUGGCCUACCAAGGCGGCGAUCGGUAGCUGGUCUGAGAGGACGAUCAGCCACACUGGGACUGAGACACGGCCCAGACUCCUACGGGAGGCAGCAGUGGGGAAUUUUCCGCAAUGGGCGAAAGCCUGACGGAGCAAUACCGCGUGAGGGAGGAAGGCUCUUGGGUUGUAAACCUCUUUUCUCAAGGAAGAAGCAAUGACGGUACUUGAGGAAUCAGCAUCGGCUAACUCCGUG
This 436-nucleotide ribosomal RNA is filed under the name uncultured bacterium. RNAcentral describes it as "bacterial SSU rRNA". It matches the Rfam family "Bacterial small subunit ribosomal RNA", at positions 28 to 507 of the family's 1533-position model. The record is from RNAcentral.